This 497-nucleotide ribosomal RNA is filed under the name uncultured bacterium. RNAcentral's name for it is "partial 16S ribosomal RNA". It matches the Rfam family "Bacterial small subunit ribosomal RNA", at positions 28 to 507 of the family's 1533-position model. The record is from RNAcentral.
GAUGAACGCUGGCGGCGUGCCUAAUACAUGCAAGUCGAGCGAACGGACGAGAAGCUUGCUUCUCUGAUGUUAGCGGCGGACGGGUGAGUAACACGUGGAUAACCUACCUAUAAGACUGGGAUAACUUCGGGAAACCGGAGCUAAUACCGGAUAAUAUUUUGAACCGCAUGGUUCAAAAGUGAAAGACGGUCUUGCUGUCACUUAUAGAUGGAUCCGCGCUGCAUUAGCUAGUUGGUAAGGUAACGGCUUACCAAGGCAACGAUGCAUAGCCGACCUGAGAGGGUGAUAGGCCACACUGGAACUGAGACACGGUCCAGACCCCUACGGGAGGCAGCAGUAGGGAAUCUUCCGCAAUGGGCGAAAGCCUGACGGAGCAACGCCGCGUGAGUGAUGAAGGUCUUCGGAUCGUAAAACUCUGUUAUUAGGGAAGAACAUAUGUGUAAGUAACUGUGCACAUCUUGACGGUACCUAAUCAGAAAGCCACGGCUAACUACGUG